ACAAGCGGCGGAGCAUGCGGAUUAAUUCGAUGCAACGCGAAGAACCUUACCAAGGCUUGACAUACACCGGUAACGCCCAGAGAUGGGUGCCCCUUUGUGGUCGGUGUACAGGUGGUGCAUGGUUGUCGUCAGCUCGUGUCGUGAGAUGUUGGGUUAAGUCCCGCAACGAGCGCAACCCUCGUCCUAUGUUGCCAGCGGGUCAUGCCGGGGACUCAUGGGAGACUGCCGGGGUCAACUCGGAGGAAGUGGGAUGACGUCAAAUCAUCAUGCCCCUUAUGUCUUGGGCUUCACGCAUGCUACAAUGGCCGGUACAAAGGGCUGCGAUACCGCGAGGUGGAGCGAAUCCCAGAAAGCCGGUCUCAGUUCGGAUUGGGGUCUGCAACUCGACCCCAUGAAGUCGGAGUCGCUAGUAAUCGCAGAUCAGCAACGCUGCGGUGAAUACGUUCCCGGGCCUU
RNAcentral lists this ribosomal RNA (455 nucleotides) under uncultured Curtobacterium sp. RNAcentral's name for it is "bacterial SSU rRNA". It matches the Rfam family "Bacterial small subunit ribosomal RNA", at positions 925 to 1382 of the family's 1533-position model. Lineage: Bacteria; Bacillati; Actinomycetota; Actinomycetes; Micrococcales; Microbacteriaceae. The record is from RNAcentral.